ACGAACGCUGGCGGCGUGCUUAACACAUGCAAGUCGAACGGAAAGGCCCUGCUUUUGUGGGGUGCUCGAGUGGCGAACGGGUGAGUAACACGUGAGUAACCUGCCCUUGACUUUGGGAUAACUUCAGGAAACUGGGGCUAAUACCGGAUAGGAGCUCCUGCUGCAUGGUGGGGGUUGGAAAGUUUCGGCGGUUGGGGAUGGACUCGCGGCUUAUCAGCUUGUUGGUGGGGUAGUGGCUUACCAAGGCUUUGACGGGUAGCCGGCCUGAGAGGGUGACCGGCCACAUUGGGACUGGGAUACGGCCCAGACUCCUACGGGAGGCAGCAGGGGGGAAUAUUGCACAAUGGGCGGAAGCCUAAUGCAGAAACGCCGCGUGCGGGAUGACGGCCUUCGGGUUGUAAACCGCUUUCGCCUGUGACGAAGCGUGGGUGACGGUAAUGGGUAAAGAAGCCCGGCUAACUACGUG
RNAcentral lists this ribosomal RNA (466 nucleotides) under uncultured bacterium. Its description in RNAcentral is "partial 16S ribosomal RNA". It matches the Rfam family "Bacterial small subunit ribosomal RNA", at positions 29 to 507 of the family's 1533-position model. The record is from RNAcentral.